UACGAAGGGGGCUAGCGUUGCUCGGAAUCACUGGGCGUAAAGGGUGCGUAGGCGGGUCUUUAAGUCAGGGGUGAAAUCCUGGAGCUCAACUCCAGAACUGCCUUCGAUACUGAGAGUCUCAGAGUCCGGGAGAGGUGAGUGGAACUCCGAGUGUAGAGGUGAAAUUCGUAGAUAUUCGGAGGAACACCAGUGGCGAAGGCGGCUCACUGGCCCGGUACUGACGCUGAGGUGCGAAAGCGUGGGGAGCAAACAGG
Molecule: ribosomal RNA, 254 nt
Filed under: uncultured bacterium
Lineage: Bacteria
Description: partial 16S ribosomal RNA
Rfam family: Bacterial small subunit ribosomal RNA
Source: RNAcentral